UGAACGAGGCAAGUGGGCGGGCGGUGUGGAGCCCUUGUGCUGUAGGAGAGCGGGUAGUGGAGCGGCGGCACUCCUUGGACAAGCGGGGCCAGAUGUGAGGUACUGCGGCGGGCUUUUCUCCUCAGGGUCCGAGCGGAGCCGUUGAGGAGAAGAGAGGAGCGAGCCUCAGGAGCGCAGAAGCAGAAAGGAUGCAUCUAUUCCGUUGAAGACCCCUCAAAAAAUUGUGACGGGCGGAGAAACGCUCUUGAGUUGUGAUGGCAGAAGAAGAUGGGGCUAAAUUCCGCUUGUGAAUUCUAGGAGUAGCUGUAACUAGACUGUUUAAUUUUUUCUUAAUGUAGGGUGGAUCUUUCUAAUCUUCUGGAAUGGAUGCCUUUUGCAAGCAAUGUUUCUGGUUCCCAGGAAGGGCUAGCAGAAGCUUAUUUUAGGCUAGGUCUUAAUCUCACUUCGAACUCAAAGAGUUUUUCAAAUAAAGUUCAGACUUGGAGCCUAAGUGAGAUGCUCUGCAGUCCAUGUAAUCGUUUUUAAAGGGCUGAAAUGUGGAUUACGGUGCCUAAAACAACCUCUGCUGCUUCCAUACAAAUGCAGUUAGGGUGGCUACCUCGCUUUGUGCAGCUUUUAUGGAUCUUUGGCUGCUCUGAUCUUUGGGCUAUCACCAAGUCUGAAGCAAUUUUAAUAAUGCUGUGAGUAAAGAGGCUGUGCUUUCUUCUGAUAUAUGGCUUACAUACUGUGGUAUUGUUAACUGUGAUGGUGUGCAUCUGCAGUUGUGGCUCUUCUGCUGUUCAAGUGUGUUGGAAAAUUUGCUGCAAGGAGUAUACAUGUGCUGUAUAAGGUGAAGGUAAGUUUGUGAAGUCUAGAAAAUUGGCUCAAAGUGUGCAGUCACAAUUUUAGUAUAUAUGCCACUGUGAACUAUUUAAAUGUAUGAAUAAAGCAAUAAAGAGACAUUGACUUUGA
Molecule: long non-coding RNA, 951 nt
Organism: Calypte anna (Anna's hummingbird)
Lineage: Eukaryota; Metazoa; Chordata; Aves; Apodiformes; Trochilidae
Exons: 3
Source: RefSeq, a predicted model, not a curated record